RNAcentral lists this ribosomal RNA (49 nucleotides) under Schizothyrium pomi. Its description in RNAcentral is "partial 28S ribosomal RNA". The record is from RNAcentral. Lineage: Eukaryota; Fungi; Ascomycota; Dothideomycetes; Mycosphaerellales; Schizothyriaceae.
GGUUGACCUCGGAUCGGGUAGGGAUACCCGCUGAACUUAAGCAUAUCUA